This is a non-coding RNA of Schistosoma curassoni, 46 nucleotides long. NCBI's taxonomy places the organism in Eukaryota, Metazoa, Platyhelminthes, Trematoda, Strigeidida, Schistosomatidae. The record is from Rfam.
GCACCGCUGAAGAGUCCCAUACUAGGACGAAACGGCCGUCCAGUGC